AAAGAGGCUCGGUCGCAAUACACAGGCUUCAGGGAAGACCGGAGUUUGCCAUCUCCGUACCACCACCACCACCACACACAGCACCCUCAAGACUCCCUGUGAUCCUGGGAUGCACUCAACGAAGAGUGUGUGGCCCAGGAUUUGAUGGAAAUGCUACAAGAGAAGCAGGCUCUCCCCUUCUGAAAUGAUGAGUGAUAAUGACCAUACAGGUCAACUUUUCCACCACUUGGAGGGAGCCUGUCAAAGAACAAAGGCAACAGAGAAGAGAGCAGAGCUGAGGUUGGGUGAGAGGGAGAAAUUCCUGAGUGCUUGAAUCCCACAUGCCGGAAGCCGCACCACACUUGGACUUCUCAAUACAGGAGCCAGCUCCAGUGUCCUACAGAUGUGCCUCUUUUCUCUUUGAAGCUGAGAAACCAAGUCAUGCUGAAGACCUGGAAAUCCCAGCAGGCUGCAAACCAGCUGCAACUACAAUGGGUCAGCCCUUUUGAGAUGCUGCUGACUACCCACUUAUCUGCCAAGUUAGCCAGUGUUAAGCCAUGGAUUCACCACGCUCAGAUAAAACCUGCCCCUCUGGGAUCCCUCCAGAAAAAAACAGGCAUGCUGUUGUGAACCCUAAGAUGGCCUUAAGUUAAUAUUCAAUGCCCAGCCAAAGACCCUAAAUAAGAAGUCAUAAAGGAAACAUGUGCUUUUCAGGUACCAAUCACCCUCCAGAUCUAAGAAUGGCUUCAGGCUGGGGCUGCAGUCACCUCUUUGCCCAGCUUCUCCCCUGCCCUAUUCUGCUUCACUUGCAUCCUUAAAGGUUCCACCCAAGAGCUCUUCUACAAGAAAGCACCUAUAAAGCCAGACACAUUGGCUUAUGCCUAUAAUCCUAGCACUUUGGGAGGCCAAGGUAGGAGGAUGGCUUGAGGCCAGGAGUUCAAGACCAGCCUGGGCAACUUAGUGAGGCCCCGUCUCUAUAAAAAAUAAAAAAAUUAACCAGGUGUGGUGGUGCACGUCUCUAGUCUCAGCUACUCAGGAGGCUGUGGCAGGAAGAUGGCUUGAGCCCAGGAGGUUGAGGCUGCAGUGAACUAAGAUCAUGCCACUGCACCCAUCUUGGGCAACAGAAUGAGAUCCUGUCUCUAAAAAAAUAAAAACAAUUUACAACAGUAAGCACCUGUACACAAGCCCCAUCUCCAGUCCUGUUUCUAGGGCUUCCAAUUUAACACACCUAGAGGCUGGGCAUAGUAGCUCAUGCCUGUAAUCCCAAUACUUUGGGAGGCUGAGGCAAGUGAAGCACUUGAGGUCAGGAGUUCGAGACCAGCCUGGCCAACAUGGCAAAACCCCAUCUCUACUAAAAAUGCAAACAUUAGCUGGGCAUGGUGGCACAUGCCUGUAAUCCCAGCUACUCGGGAGGCUGAGACAGGAGAAUCACUUGAACCCAGGAGGUGGAGGUUACAGUGAGCCAAGAUCACACCACUGUACCACAGCCUGAGCAACGAAAGAAGACUCUGUCUAAAAAAAGUAAAAAAUAAAAUAAAACACACCUGGAGCUUUCUACAUCCCGUAGGUAUCUGUGUUUCUUUCUCGUGCCCUAUUUGACA
RNAcentral lists this long non-coding RNA (1580 nucleotides) under Homo sapiens (human). Its description in RNAcentral is "non-protein coding SOCS2-AS1:20". The record is from RNAcentral. Lineage: Eukaryota; Metazoa; Chordata; Mammalia; Primates; Hominidae.